AUAUCUCUCUGCUAAUUAAAGUUUUCAUCUUCUACAAAGAACAAGGUAAAGCAAGAAAGCCAAGUAUCUUUCUUUCUCCGUCUCUGUGUGUUGUUAGUUACUUUUCCACUAUUUUAUUAGUAGCUAUUACCUCUUAUCAGUAUAGCUAUAAUUACUUCUUUCUCUAUAUUUUUUUCUAGUUGUUUAUCCCAUUUCAAAAAUUAAGUUCCAUUUUUUCCCUAGUUGUAUGUUGUGGUUGUUUGUUCCUUCUACUCUGAUUCUACUACUUGUGAGAUUGUUAUUUACUGCAUAUUAAAUAGAAGUGGAGGUUUUGAAGGGAUUGAGAACCAUGCUUAGAGAAUAGAGAGAAAUAAAGAUAAGUUAAAAUGAUUGCUUUUUGUUUUACCAUUAAUUACUGCACUUGAUGUUGUUAUUUGGCUGAAAAUCUCCGCUUAUGGGAGAAAACAUGUUGUCUCACACAGUAUAUGAGUAAUGAAUUCAUGUUAACGUUUCAUUUUGGUGUUGAGGUAGUCGAUUUUAGGAAUCAAUUAUUGGUUAAUUAAUUGCCUAUAAUAUAUGUUAUGGGGUUUUCUGAGCUUUAAAUUAAGGGUCCAUGCAAAUUUUCUGUCAACCUUUGAAGCCUUGAGUAUAUAUAUAAGAUGUAGUUUUCUGAUCUACCAAUAUAUAAACUUAUAAGUUUGGCGAUAAGCGUAUAUAAAAGAGAGUGUGUGUGUGGCUUAAUAAUAAUAAGAAUAAUAAUAAUCAUUCUCUUUCUACUUAGCAGCUGGAUUAAUGAAUAACAAGUGGGAUUUAUUACUCGAUGGCAAGGACUAUAAAGCCUGUAGUAGGGUGUUUCCCAGGAGUGAUCAAAGGGAAGAGAGGACAAUUUGAAGCAUUUCAGGUUAGCUUAUUUCCUUGUUUUCUUGUUUUUUUUUACCUGGUCAUGGUUCCUUUUCUGAAGAUUGUUGUUGGGUAAUUCAAAUUUAUUGAAAUUGGCCUAUGAAUUACGUAGACAUGCCAGUUUUUCGGUGGUUAAGUUUGCUGAGACAUGGAGCAAGAACCCUAUCUGAUUAGCUGUAACUAGAAAAUGAAAAUGACAUCCUUUAAUCGUUUUUACUCUCUUUGUAAUACAAUAACAACAACAAAACAACCAGUGUAAUCCCACAAGUGAGAUCUGGAGAGGGUAGUAUGUACGUAGACUUGGAGAGCAUAGUGUGUACGUAGUAGCAGGGGGUACUUCAUUAAAGGGUCGAAAAAUUACACUGCAUAUAUAUACAUAUAUAUACAUAUAUAUACAUAUAUAUAUAUACCGGGUGUCCGAGUCUUUAAGAGCUCCAACUAAUCUCAGGGGUGUACAGGCCCUCGGCAAGGAGUUUCCCGCAAGCGCAAGGAGUUUCCCGCAAGCGCAACAGGGUUAAUUCCGAAGGCCCUUAGAAAUUAUUUGCACCCACUGCGUUUCGAACUUGAGACCUUGAAAGGGAGCAAACCCCAAGGCUCAAGUCAAUUGCCACCAUGCCAACUCCUGAGGGUUACACUGCAUAUAUAGGUAAAAUAUAGGCUUUAUAGGUAUAUAACAUAUAUUGAACACUUUUUGUCGGAGAAUUUUGUUCACCUUUUCCAAGUUUGAACACACUUGAGGAAAUUUCUGGCUUCGGCACUGCGUAGUAUACCUUACCCCCACCUUGAAGGUAGAAAGGCUGUUUCCGAUAGAUUUUUCCUCCUUGUAAUAAUUAUAGAAGUUAAAACAAUCUGGACAGAAAGUAUGUUGCUGUUUAAAAAUUAUGUGGUAUUGCAUACUGAUUGCUGAGAAUCAUUGCCUCGUUGAAGAUUUUGAGACUUGGGUCUUGGAUCUUCACUAACUUUUUGCUUGAAGUCUGCAGUUUCUUGGGUGAUUCAUUGAAAAAGGAUAAUUAUCAUUAAUAAAAGGAAUCAUGAUUUGCAGUUGUCAAUCCAACAAAAUUCAGAAAAUGCUCUAUGCCCUAACCAACUACAAAAUUAAAGGUGGCAAGGGCUGUAAUUCCUUUUGCUGAUCCUUUUGUCAGCACAGUGUAGUUUCGUUUCUUUAUCCUUCCUCCUGUGAUGUGAUUCUUGUAUGUGAGACACUGUACAGUUAAUUCGUCGUCAUCUUGAAACACAGAUUAUGAUUAAUUAAUCCCAUCCUUUUGGUUUCACCGGUUAAGUCACCAGUGGACUGAGUUUGCCACCAUAGCUUCAUGUGAGGGCUGCGCUUACUCUUACUGGUUUUAGACGACUUACACCUCUUCGCAUAAACUCAAAUGCCAACAUAAACAAGCCAAAAAAGAACACCAAGAAUAUCUGGAGCCUUGCUACAAUGUCAACCAUGACAGACACAUUGCUUCCCUCGGGAGAACUUUUUCUUGUAGGUGGGGUUAUACUCCAUCCUGAUACAGACAAUCAACUAUUAGAGUGAUGCAACUUAACCAAUAAGCUUAAAACAAAUAACGGGACUUGUGAUUCAUGGAAGUAUUUUGUGUCGUUCGCGCUCGUUACCAUAUUACAUUGUCAUUACCAUUGUUUGCUACUUGGUUGUUUUAUCCUAUCUCCACUGUUCUUUGCGCCGAGCAUCUAUCGGAAACAACCUCUAUCUUUAUAAGGUAGGGGUAAGGUCUCUCCCCAGACCUCAUUUAUGGGAUUGCACUGGGUCGUUGUCAUUCUUGUUGUUGUUGUUAUUGUUGUUAGUGAUUCAUGGAAGUUUAUACAUCCUACAGAGACAUUUUCCCUCUAUCUCCCCCUAUUCCAAAUAGUCUAGUUCAUUAUGCAGCCUUUUUCUUGGAAGAGUAGGUAAGAAAACAGAUAUAAGUACUUACCGGUGCUUUUCUUGGGCAAAUUUGUCCAGUCAUACGGGCUAAUCUUACUUGAAGAUGCCUUGAUCAACUCAAGAAGUGCGUCAUUGACCUAAAAUUUUUAUAAUCGUCAUAUACUUCCAUUAACAAUUAGCAUACAUAUGACUCCAGCCACACAAAUGCCAAUAGAUUGGACAUAUCUAAAAUUUUGUAUAUGCUGAUAAUCGUCAUAUACUUUCCAUUAACAAUCAGCAUACAUAUGACUAAAGCCACACAAAUGCCAAUAGAUUGGACAUGUCUAAAAUUUUGUAUAUGCUGAUUGACUCAUAAAUAUUGAAGUGCAAUAUAAUAAUUUCAUUUGAUCAUGAUAUCCAUGUGAAUGUUUGAUUCUCCUAUUUAUUUUAUCUUUUUCAAGAACCGACAAGUUGUCUGCUGUCGAAACAUUCAUUGAUGUUCUGCAUGACACCACAGGCCCUAGCUCUGAAAACAAAAAUGAAAAGAGAAAUACCUGCUAGAUCUAAACAGUCUGCAUUGUAUAAAAUACCCUCUCACUUGCUAAAAAACCAAAAGCAAUAAAAAUACUCAGGUACCUGAACACUUGGAAUAAUUAUCAGAUUAUAGUGUCCAGUGUGCUUGAAAGGAUUCUAGUAUGCGUUGACCCAUUUUCAACCCGUUUAAACAUGGGUAGGUAGAGUAAGGUUUUGUUACGGGCGGGUUGGGGGGGGUUAAAGCAAUUUGGGUGAAAUUUGGUAUUUAUGUGGUGUUCACAGAUACAUUGCACAAAUCAUUUAAAGCCACAGGAGAGUACAAAAACUUUGAGAAUCUCAUAGGGUAUUAUGCAUUUCAAAAUGUUCUAUUAGUGACUCCACCAAAAGGUUGAUUUUGGCCUAUUAGUGACUCCGCCCAGUGCCAAGUCAUUGAUUUUUUACAGCGGCCAACUGAUCCUCAGAAUCACUAGAAAAUUGCAGAUCAAUAGUUCUUAGAUGAGACCCAUUCCCCCAGCUCUUUGGAGCAAAUUCACAAUAUAUUAUAUAGAAUCAGAUGCUUUCUUGACCUAUAUCUUAGUAUGCAACUUUUACCUGAUAUGCAGAGCACCUAUGGUUCUGUCACUAUUAGAAUAAUAGAUGCAUAUAAUAAUACCUCUUCUGUCCUUUCAUGACUAACGAGAUGUCCUCCAGGAAGCUCUACCAUUCUAGCAUACGGAUGUAAUUUCUUCGCAAGACUCUUCGCGUGGCUUAAUUGAGCAAUGACGUCGUCCCUACACAGAAGAAAUAUUGAUUUAAAAUCUGGAUAACCUUUCAAAAGAAACGGAUUUACAUCUAAACAAUAUUUCUGGCUGUUUGAGAUUGUAUCUGUAGUGGAUAAUGCCUUCAAAUUACAGAUGAAUAUACCUGCCAUGAAUAACAGAUAUGAGGAACCCAGCAGAGCAGAUAGAUUCAAGAUCAGCCCGCGAUAGCUUAUGAGUCCAGCAAGCAUUUAUCUGCCCAUCAAAUCCACAAUUUGACUGCAUCCCAGAUGCUGCUAUGCCUUUGAAGUAUUCCUGCCACCCAAAAAAAGACCCCAGUGAGCACCUUAGUAUUGUUUCUUGUAGAUUACAAGAUAAAAAGAUGCCCAAAGAAACAUCUAGAACAUAAUGUGCUUAGGUCACUCACUUGAUAUAAUAUUGCUCUUCGGGUUUUAGUUCCCACAUAUUCCUCGAGGUAUUCCUGUAAAGUAAAAAACACAGAUAUGUUAGUUACAAAUCAUUCCCUGGCCAUGAAAAAUGGUAUCUUAUUACAUCUUUAUAUCUAGUCAUGGUCAACCAACUCAAUCAGCAAUCUUAUAAAAAAUAAUGCACAUGAAACCGUGUUUAGACAUGGCAUGUUCAUGCAUCUUUUGAGAAGGAAGGAAGUGAAGCCUCUUAUUUGUCAACACUAUUAAAUGAACAAUUAAUCAACCUUUGAGUAGUGGGUGUCUAAAUCAACAGCAGCCCUCUGCUCAGGAGUUUUUGCCUUCAAAAAGCGGACUGCAAUAGAUAGAGUUUGACGAUCGAGCUGCAGCAAAAAAAGACCAUAUGAGCACGAGAAUAAACACAAUAACGCUUUCUUUGAUUCAAGUAUGCAAUGAGCAACAGGCAGAGGAGGCGUUGUGUUUUAAGGUACAACAUGAAUUUAGCUUGCAUCUAUUUAAUGCAAUUAUCAGAAUCAUUAAUUUUACAGGAUCUUACUCAACACAAUAAUUUAUUUUAGUUAUGCAAACAUGGUGACCAUUUCUUUAGUCUUCAGAUCAACUGCUUGACUCUACGAGCAUCCAGAAAAGUUGGUGGGACUAGGAAGUAUAUUGGAUGGCCGUACCACCUACCAAACUACCAAAGCAGCAGGUUGACAUGCAGCAUUUCACUGGAUUAAGGCGUUGAGUAUCUCCUGGGUCCUUCGAGAGCAUGAAGUAGAGGUAGAGUAGGAUUACCUAAUCUACAAAUAUAUACCAUAUUUCUGAUAUUUAUAUAUCUCAUUUGGAAGCAUGAGCAUGCAAGCUCCGACUUUCCUCGCAUGUGGGAUUGCUACUACAAUACUGUAGUUGUAAGCGUUUGCAUCUUGAUAUUUCUACAUCUCAUUAUAAUUAAUUCAAUUGCAGGGGGAAAUCAAGUGAAUAUAUGCUACUGAUUGUUACCAUAAAAACCAGCCCUCCCUCCCGCCN
Molecule: long non-coding RNA, 5459 nt
Filed under: Nicotiana benthamiana
Lineage: Eukaryota; Viridiplantae; Streptophyta; Magnoliopsida; Solanales; Solanaceae
Description: long non-coding RNA (NBEN_LNC033202)
Source: RNAcentral